Lentibacillus amyloliquefaciens is the source of this 207-nucleotide non-coding RNA. The record is from Rfam. NCBI's taxonomy places the organism in Bacteria, Bacillati, Bacillota, Bacilli, Caryophanales, Bacillaceae.
UCCUCUGCGAAGAGGAAUCUGGAAGGUCUGCAGGCAAAGUCCAUUUCAGAAUAAUAUGUGAACCAGAGGUGGCGGCGAUGCUGGGUGAUCCGCCCGAAAAACGGAGAAACCUGUGCCACUGUGACUGUAGGAAAACUUGAAAAAGGGGAACGACCUACAGGGCUCAUCGACGUGAUUAGGGUCAGGAUGGAUGGAACUGAGUGUGUG